Echinops telfairi (small Madagascar hedgehog) is the source of this 172-nucleotide small nuclear RNA. RefSeq annotates it as U1 spliceosomal RNA. The transcript has a single exon. The record is from RefSeq and is a predicted model, not a curated record. Lineage: Eukaryota; Metazoa; Chordata; Mammalia; Afrosoricida; Tenrecidae.
AUACUGACAGUACCACAGACUACCAAAAGAACAAACAAAUCUGUCUUGAUAAAAGCAUAACCACAGCUUGUCCAUUGCACUCCGGAUGUGCUGACCCCUGCAACUUCCCCAAAUGUGGGGAACUCACUGCAUAAUUUGUGGUAGUAGGGGCCUGCAUUCACGCUCUCCGUUA